This 791-nucleotide ribosomal RNA is filed under the name uncultured Ascomycota. RNAcentral's name for it is "LSU rRNA". It matches the Rfam family "Eukaryotic large subunit ribosomal RNA", at positions 423 to 1236 of the family's 3401-position model. The record is from RNAcentral. Lineage: Eukaryota; Fungi; Ascomycota.
UUGCGGCCAGACUUGCCUGCAGUUGCUCAGCCCGCCCUUUGGCGGGUGCACUCUUCUGCAGUCAGGCCAGCAUCGGUUUGGGCGGUCGGAUAAAGGCGUUGGGAACGUGGCCUCCCCUCGGGGAGGUGUUAUAGCCCGGCGCGCAAUGCGACCAGCCUGGACCGAGGUUCGCGCUUUGCUAGGAUGCUGGCGUAAUGGCCGUAAGCGGCCCGUCUUGAAACACGGACCAAGGAGUCUAACAUCUAUGCGAGUGUUUGGGUGUCAAACCCGUGCGCGUAAUGAAAGUGAACAGAGGUGGGAACCGCAAGGUGCACCAUCGACCGAUCCUGAUGUCUUCGGAAGGAUUUGAGUAAGAGCAUAGCUGUUGGGACCCGAAAGAUGGUGAACUAUGCGUGAAUAGGGUGAAGCCAGAGGAAACUCUGGUGGAGGCUCGCAGCGGUUCUGACGUGCAAAUCGAUCGUCAAAUUUGCGUAUAGGGGCGAAAGACUAAUCGAACCAUUUAGUAGCUGGUUCCUGCCGAAGUUUCCCUCAGGAUAGCAGUAACGUUUUCAGUUUUAUGAGGUAAAGCGAAUGAUUAGAGGCCUGGGGGUUGAAACUAACCUUCACCUAUUCUCAAACUUUAAAUAUGUAAGAAGUCCUUGUUACUUAGUUGAACGUGGACAUUUGAAUGCACCGUUACUAGUGGGCCAUUUUUGGUAAGCAGAACUGGCGAUGCGGGAUGAACCGAACGGGGGGUUAAGGUGCCGGAAUGCACGCUCAUCAGACACCACAAAAGGUGUUGGUUCAUCUAG